Molecule: transfer RNA, 27 nt
Filed under: Liriodendron tulipifera
Lineage: Eukaryota; Viridiplantae; Streptophyta; Magnoliopsida; Magnoliales; Magnoliaceae
Description: partial trnH
Source: RNAcentral
GGCGGAUGUGGCCAAGUGGCUCAAGGC